This 772-nucleotide ribosomal RNA is filed under the name uncultured Neocallimastigales. RNAcentral's name for it is "partial large subunit ribosomal RNA". It matches the Rfam family "Eukaryotic large subunit ribosomal RNA", at positions 26 to 633 of the family's 3401-position model. Lineage: Eukaryota; Fungi; Neocallimastigomycota; Neocallimastigomycetes; Neocallimastigales. The record is from RNAcentral.
CGCAUCUGUGCAUGCAGCAUAUCAAUAAGCGGAGGAAAAGAAACUAACAAGGAUUCCCUCAGUAACGGCGAGUGAAGCGGGAAGAGCUCAAAUUUGAAAUCUUGAAAGGUCACCUUUCACGAAUUGUAGUUUAAAGAAGUGUUUUCUGUUACGAUCGUAAUAUAAGUUCUUUGGAAUAGGACAUCACAGGAGGGUGAGAAUCCCGUCUAUGAUUGCGAUUUGUAGCUUUGUGAUACACUUUCAAAGAGUCGGGUUGUUUGGGAAUGCAGCCCAAAACGGGAGGUAAAUUUCUUCUAAGGCUAAAUAUUGGCGAGAGACCGAUAGCGAACAAGUACCGUGAGGGAAAGAUGAAAAGAACUUUGAAAAGAGAGUUAAAUAGUACGUGAAAUUGUCAAAAGGGAAGCGUUUAACACCAGUGUUGUUUUCUGAAAAUCAACCUCUGUUAGCUUUAUGCAUGUUUGUUUAGACCUAAUCAGCUAUCUUGCAUGUUCUAUUGUUUGCAGUGGUGCACUUUUCAGUUUACAGGUCAACAUCAGUUUUUUUUACCGUAAAAAAGUUAAAGAAAGGUAGCUCAUGGCUCCGGUCGUGAGUGUUAUAGUCUUUUUCCUAUGCGGUAGGAGAGACUGAGGUCUGCAGUGUAGGCUAUUUGGCUAGAUACUCAGGUGCUAUGUGAUACCAUUUCAUAAACAACUUGUUGAUUAUGUUUUGUCUAUUGCAUACUCGCUUGUACUAUCAUACCUACGCUUAGGAUGUUGACGAUCAACUGAGCGCG